RNAcentral lists this unclassified non-coding RNA (807 nucleotides) under Hevea brasiliensis (rubber tree). Lineage: Eukaryota; Viridiplantae; Streptophyta; Magnoliopsida; Malpighiales; Euphorbiaceae. The record is from RNAcentral.
AAAUGAGGCAUUUUCAUUGAAAUUAAUUGAUUUCAACCAAAAUUCAUGGGUUUGGAAUAACAAAUUAUAAAAACAAGCUGUUGACAUUCUUUUUUUUAAUCAUAUAUGAUUAAGGCGAAUGCAAUUAAUCACAGGAAGAGCAAUUGGCAAUGCCAGCAAGUUGCCAUAACCCCGCAUAUUCCGUGGCCCCCACUACUUUGAGAUGAUUUGUUCUCUACGUGUCAAAAAAGCAAUGAGCUGGAUAUCUAUCCGUCUACCUCGAACAGUGAGAGGAAAAUGAAAAAAAGUGCACGAGUCUUAACAACCCGUAAUCGCCACGUAAGCGAACUGGCCAAACCCGUUCGUUUAGGACGCGUCAACCUCACUUUUCCCUCGUUGAGGUCCGUUAUGUCAUCAAACAGAUCUUUGGUACAACGCGCACUCCCCUUGGCUGCAUCAGGCUGAGACCCGUCAUCUACGUGGCCCACCUCGUAGUUUUUUUCCCCCAGACGCAUUGCUGAGAGAAAACGGCAGAGAGCCCAUUACAGCGGAACCUAAUCUUAAUCAGUCCAACGUCCAGCCAUAGAAAAAACCAGGCCUAUGCCGAGAUACAUCAGGCCCAAGCUCAGCUACAAGAAACCCUAGCUAGGAUCAGGAGAGGCAAUCAAUCCAGACAACAACAAAUACCCCUUGCAAGUAGGAUAAUCUCUUGAGUAAGCAAUGGAUUGAUGAUGGUAAACUAUAUUUCUGUUGGUGCAAGUUGAAGUUGCAGCGUUUGGACGUAAGGCUUAUCCCCUGUUUUGCCAGCAGCACAUAAUGGGAUUAGCA